RNAcentral lists this long non-coding RNA (491 nucleotides) under Homo sapiens (human). RNAcentral's name for it is "non-protein coding lnc-RGS20-2:1". Lineage: Eukaryota; Metazoa; Chordata; Mammalia; Primates; Hominidae. The record is from RNAcentral.
GGGAUUACAGGUGUGAGCCACCACAACCAGCCACUCAGCCACUUUUCUGAACCUGCACCCUGCCCUGUUCAUACACAUGGUCUGGAUAUCCAGAAAUACGUGAAAGCACUUGAAAACCUUUAUUUCUCCAAAGCAUCUCACUCCUCAGCCUUUCCUCCCAGGCUUUUUGGUGUGUCUAUUGUUUGCUCCAACUUAUAUCAUUUGCCCUAAGUGGUAGUCAGUGGUUCAUUUGACUUUAAAUAUUUUUGACCAACACCCUCUGUGUUGGUCAACUCUCCACCCUCAGAGAGUUCUGAGCUAUUUCUUCACCCUGAGAGAGUUCUGAGUUAGAGCAAAUAAAGGCAGUCUUUGUAUUAGUCCUUCAAAAAGCCACCUGAGAGACAACCACGAUUCUUUGAAAACAAGAUUGACUUUGGUUCCUCCGAUAUCUGGAACCCACGGGAAUGUGAACUGUUAUCUUCAACAGCAUCACCAUGACUGGGAGGGAUAAU